UCCCUGAUGGCUCAGAGGGUAAAGCGUCUGUCUGCAAUGCAGGAGACCCAGGUUCAAUCCCCAGGUCGGGAA
RNAcentral lists this transfer RNA (72 nucleotides) under Bos taurus (domestic cattle). It matches the Rfam family "tRNA". Rfam says of the family: Transfer RNA (tRNA) molecules are approximately 80 nucleotides in length. Their secondary structure includes four short double-helical elements and three loops (D, anti-codon, and T loops). Lineage: Eukaryota; Metazoa; Chordata; Mammalia; Artiodactyla; Bovidae. The record is from Rfam by way of RNAcentral. RNAcentral also lists the same sequence under 2 other names.